GAUGAAGAACGUAGCGAAAUGCGAUACUUGGUGUGAAUUGCAGAAUCCCGUGAACCAUCGAGUCUUUGAACGCAAGUUGCGCCUCAAGCCAUUAGGUUGAGGGCACGUCUGCCUGGGCGUCACAUAUCGUUGCCUGAUGCCAGUUUCCUCGUGAUGGGUGACUGUGCAGGGCGAAUGAUGGCUUCCCGUGAGCAUUGUUGCCUCAUGGUUGGUUGAAAAUUGAGUCCUUGGUAGGGAGCGCCGUGAUAGAUGGUGGUUGAGUGACGAACGAGACCCAAUCAUGUGAGACCCCUACCGAAUUUGGCCUUCAUGACCCACAUGCGUCUUUGGAACGCUCAUGACGAGACCUCAGGUCAGGCGGGGCUACCCGCUGAGUUUAAGCAUAUCAAUAAGCAGAGGA
RNAcentral lists this unclassified non-coding RNA (400 nucleotides) under soil metagenome. RNAcentral describes it as "partial contains 5.8S ribosomal RNA, internal transcribed spacer 2, and large subunit ribosomal RNA". The stretch from base 1 to 122 matches the Rfam family "5.8S ribosomal RNA", at positions 35 to 154 of the family's 154-position model. The record is from RNAcentral.